This 432-nucleotide ribosomal RNA is filed under the name uncultured bacterium. RNAcentral's name for it is "partial 16S ribosomal RNA". It matches the Rfam family "Bacterial small subunit ribosomal RNA", at positions 29 to 507 of the family's 1533-position model. The record is from RNAcentral.
ACGAACGCUGGCGGCCGGCCUCACCCCUGCCAGUCGAGCGCGCCCUUCGGGGUGAGCGGCGGACGGGUGAGUAACGCGUGGGAACGUGCCCUUUUCUACGGAAUAGCCUCGGGAAACUGAGAGUAAUACCGUAUACGCCCUUUGGGGGAAAGAUUUAUCGGAAAAGGAUCGGCCCGCGUUGGAUUAGGUAGUUGGUGGGGUAAUGGCCUACCAAGCCGACGAUCCAUAGCUGGUUUGAGAGGAUGAUCAGCCACACUGGGACUGAGACACGGCCCAGACUCCUACGGGAGGCAGCAGUGGGGAAUCUUAGACAAUGGGGGCAACCCUGAUCUAGCCAUGCCGCGUGAGUGAUGAAGGCCUUAGGGUUGUAAAGCUCUUUCAGCUGGGAAGAUAAUGACGGUACCAGCAGAAGAAGCCCCGGCUAACUCCGUG